AUUGAACGCUGGCGGCAGGCCUAACACAUGCUAGUCGAACGGUAACAGGAAGAAGCUUGCUUCUUUGCUGACGAGUGGCGGACGGGUGAGUAAUGUCUGGGAAACUGCCUGAUGGAGGGGGAUAACUACUGGAAACGGUAGCUAAUACCGCAUAACGUCGCAAGACCAAAGAGGGGGACCUUCGGGCCUCUUGCCAUCGGAUGUGCCCAGAUGGGAUUAGCUUGUUGGUGGGGUAACGGCUCACCAAGGCGACGAUCCCUAGCUGGUCUGAGAGGAUGACCAGCCACACUGGAACUGAGACACGGUCCAGACUCCUACGGGAGGCAGCAGUGGGGAAUAUUGCACAAUGGGCGCAAGCCUGAUGCAGCCAUGCCGCGUGUAUGAAGAAGGCCUUCGGGUUGUAAAGUACUUUCAGCGGGGAGGAAGGGAGUAAAGUUAAUACCUUUGCUCAUUGACGUUACCCGCAGAAGAAGCACCGGCUAACUCCGUGCCAGCAGCCGCGGUAAUACGGAGGGUGCAAGCGUUAAUCGGAAUUACUGGGCGUAAAGCGCACGCAGGCGGUUUGUUAAGUCAGAUGUGAAAUCCCCGGGCUCAACCUGGGAACUGCAUCUGAUACUGGCCAAGCUUGAGUCUCGUAGAGGGGGGUAGAAUUCCAGGUGUAGCGGUGAAAUGCGUAGAGAUCUGGAGGAAUACCGGUGGCGAAGGCGGCCCCCUGGACGAAGACUGACGCUCAGGUGCGAAAGCGUGGGGAGCAAACAGGAUUAGAUACCCUGGUAGUCCACGCCGUAAACGAUGUCGACUUGGAGGUUGUGCCCUUGAGGCGUGGCUUCCGGAGUUAACGCGUUAAGUCGACCGCCUGGGGAGUACGGCCGCAAGGUUAAAACUCAAAUGAAUUGACGGGGGCCCGCACAAGCGGUGGAGCAUGUGGUUUAAUUCGAUGCAACGCGAAGAACCUUACCUGGUCUUGACAUCCACGGAAGUUUUCAGAGAUGAGAAUGUGCCUUCGGGAACCGUGAGACAGGUGCUGCAUGGCUGUCGUCAGCUCGUGUUGUGAAAUGUUGGGUUAAGUCCCGCAACGAGCGCAACCCUUAUCCUUUGUUGCCAGCGGUCCGGCCGGGAACUCAAAGGAGACUGCCAGUGAUAAACUGGAGGAAGGUGGGGAUGACGUCAAGUCAUCAUGGCCCUUACGACCAGGGCUACACACGUGCUACAAUGGCGCAUACAAAGAGAAGCGACCUCGCGAGAGCAAGCGGACCUCAUAAAGUGCGUCGUAGUCCGGAUUGGAGUCUGCAACUCGACUCCAUGAAGUCGGAAUCGCUAGUAAUCGUGGAUCAGAAUGCCACGGUGAAUACGUUCCCGGGCCUUGUACACACCGCCCGUCACACCAUGGGAGUGGGUUGCAAAAGAAGUAGGUAGCUUAACCUUCGGGAGGGCGCUUACCACUUUGUGAUU
Molecule: ribosomal RNA, 1452 nt
Filed under: uncultured bacterium
Lineage: Bacteria
Description: bacterial SSU rRNA
Rfam family: Bacterial small subunit ribosomal RNA
Source: RNAcentral